Molecule: ribosomal RNA, 424 nt
Filed under: uncultured bacterium
Lineage: Bacteria
Description: bacterial SSU rRNA
Rfam family: Bacterial small subunit ribosomal RNA
Source: RNAcentral
AGGGAAUCUUCCGCAAUGGACGAAAGUCUGACGGAGCAACGCCGCGUGAGUGAUGAAGGUUUUCGGAUCGUAAAGCUCUGUUGCCAGGGAAGAACGUCCGUUAGAGUAACUGCUAACGGAGUGACGGUACCUGAGAAGAGAGCCCCGGCUAACUACGUGCCAGCAGCCGCGGUAAUACGUAGGGGGCGAGCGUUGUCCGGAAUUAUUGGGCGUAAAGCGCGCGCAGGCGGCUGUUUAAGUCUGGUGUUUAAUCCUGGGGCUCAACCCUAGGUCGCACUGGAAACUGGACAGCUUGAGUGCAGAAGAGGAGAGUGGAAUUCCACGUGUAGCGGUGAAAUGCGUAGAGAUGUGGAGGAACACCAGUGGCGAAGGCGGCUCUCUGGGCUGUAACUGACGCUGAGGCGCGAAAGCGUGGGGAGCAAAC